UACGGAGGGUGCAAGCGUUAUCCGGAUUUACUGGGUUUAAAGGGUGCGUAGGCGGGCCUAUAAGUCAGUGGUGAAAGCCCUUCGCUUAACGAAGGAAUUGCCAUUGAUACUGUAGGUCUUGAGUAUAGUUGAGGUGGGCGGAAUGUGUCAUGUGGCGGUGAAAUGCUUAGAUAUGACACAGAACACCGAUUGCGAAGGCAGCUCGCUAAACUAUAACUGACGCUGAGGCACGAAAGCGUGGGUAGCAAACAGG
RNAcentral lists this ribosomal RNA (253 nucleotides) under uncultured bacterium. Its description in RNAcentral is "partial 16S ribosomal RNA". It matches the Rfam family "Bacterial small subunit ribosomal RNA", at positions 524 to 776 of the family's 1533-position model. The record is from RNAcentral.